AAGUGCCAGGCUGAGCAGAGCAGAGAGAAGCUGCACAGUGUGUGUGUGUGUGUGUGUGUGUGUGUGUGUGUGUGUGUGUGUGUGUGUAACGGCGCCCGUGAGUCACUGUGCUGUGUUCCUGCCGUACCCUUCCCUCACAACCACUGGAGAGAGCCUGGACACUCAGACAGGGGGAGGGGAAGCAACUUUCACAAUCUUCUUCCAGGAAAAGCCAACUCUAACGACCGUUAAACUCUGCCUUCAGUUCUCAGCACCCUGCAGGGUGACAUCCUGAGGUACCAUCUUGGGGAAUCUGUAUAGACUGUGAAGUAGCACAUUAGGGAAGUAGAGGCAAGUUUGCUUGGGGGAGGGGUCUAUUUAAUGAUAUCAAAGUUCUGCCCACCUCAGUUCUUCCUAUACUUUCUACCAAGGAUGAUGUGAUCCAUUUUCCUUCCUUUGAGGUACAUGGCAAUCAACUUUACUCCUAAAUUUCAUAUGCUCAAAUCAUCUAAAUGGCUUGGUUAUUAGAAAGGAUAAAAUGAGCUUUUUCACUCCGGAUCCCUCUUUCUUCCCACACAUGUCUCUGUGAUCACUCCUACUAUCACUGUAGCCCCACUGUCUUCCCAUCGUGUACAACUGGACUCACCACUCAGGCCCCAACUUUGCGGUCAUUGACGUCUCACCUGCUUCCCUGUUUUCACUUCUUCCAGCAAAUGGUUAUGGUGCCCUCUGCUAUGAACAGAGCGCUGUCUAAGUCCUGGGACUACAAGGUUAUGCUGGCCUCACCUGCAGAUCUGACAGCCAGCCUGUGGACACAGCCAUAUCAACUUGAUGCUGUGAUGAUCAGCAAGGAGAAACUAGGUGUUGGGAAGACACUCCUCAAAGUCAGAUGUGAUUUCGUGGAAUGAGAGUCCAAAAGCACCCAUGACCCAUCCCCACCCCAAGACUAAUACCCAAACUGUUGGGGGACCGGCCAGGAGACUGAAGAGAAGCACAGUGGACGUUCUGUGUGCGGCUGCAUCUCAGAUUGCAGUAGCCCCUGCCAGACUCCUCACGCCCACCUGCGAUAGAACGCUGCUCCUCUCCCCACAUCCCUGCGCUCCUCUGAACCCUGGAGCAGGCAGCAGCGAAGAGUCAGGCUGGAGACUCCUCCCAAACAAGUCAAUGGCGAGCGAAGCAAGCGCUCUAGACCUGUGCGGUCCAAUGCAGCUGCCACCGGACACAGGGGGAGACCCAGCACUUGAAAUGAAGCCAGUGCAAAUUGAGAUGUGCUGUAGCUAUAAAAUACACACCAGAUUUUGAAUACUUAGUAUAAAAAGAGAGUGUAAAAUGUCUCAUUAAUCAUUUUAUGUUGAUUACGUUUUGAAAUGAUACUGUUUUUGAUAUACUGGGUUAAAUAAAAUAUGUUCAAACUAA
This 1395-nucleotide long non-coding RNA is filed under the name Equus asinus (donkey). RNAcentral describes it as "lncRNA (ENSEASG00005025867.1)". The record is from RNAcentral. Lineage: Eukaryota; Metazoa; Chordata; Mammalia; Perissodactyla; Equidae.